AUGAUCACUAGGUUAAACACUGUAACUAACGGUCACUAGGUUAAGCACUGUAGGUAACAGUCACUAGGUUAAGCGCUGCAGGUAAGGGUCACUAGGUUAAGCGCUGCAGAUAACGGUCACUAGGUUAAGCGCUGCAGGUAACAGUCACUAGGUUAAGCGCCGCAGGUAACAGUGACUAGGUGAAGAUCUAAGGUAACGGUCACUAGGUUAAGAGGUGAGGUAAUGAUCACUAGGUUAAGCACUGUAACUAACGGUCACUAGGUUAAGUGCUGCAGGUAACAUUCACUAGGUUAAGCGCCGCAGGUAACAGUGACUAGGUGAAGAUCUAAGGUAACGGUCACUAGGUUAAGAGGUGAGAUAAUGAUCACUAGGUUAAACACUGUAACUAACGGUCACUAGGUUAAGCACUGUAGGUAACGGUAACUAGGUUAAGCGCUGCAGGUAACGGUCACUAGGUUAAGCGCCGCAGGUAACAGUCACUAGGUUAAGAGGUGAGGUAACGGUCACUAGGUUAAGCACCGCAGGUAACGGUCACUAGGUUAAGAGGUGAGGUAACGGUCACUAGGUUAAGCGCUGCAGGUAACGGUCACUAGGUUAAGCGCCGCAGGUAACAGUCACUAGGUUAAGCACUGCAGGUAACGGUCACUAGGUUAAGAGGUGAGGUAACGGUCACUAGGUUAAGCGCCACAGGUAACGGUCACUAGGUUAAGAGGUGAGGUAACGGUCACUAGGUUAAGCGCCGCAGGUAAUGGUCACUAGGUUAAGAGGUGAGGUAACGGUCACUAGGUUAAGCGCCGCAGGUAACAAUCACUAGGUCAAGCGCCGCAGGUAACGGUCACUAGGUUAAGCGCCGCAGGUAACAAUCACUAGGUCAAGCGCCGCAGGUAACGGUCACUAGGUUAAGCGCCGCAGGUAACGAUCACUAGGUCAAGCGCUGCAGGUAACGGCCACUAGGUUAAGAGGUGAGGUAACGGCCACUAGGUUAAGAGGUGAGGUAACGGUCACUAGGUUAAGCGCUGCAGGUAACGGCCACUAGGUUAAGAGGUGAGGUAACGGCCACUAGG
Long non-coding RNA from Sinocyclocheilus anshuiensis, 1064 nucleotides. RefSeq lists it as uncharacterized. The transcript is spliced from 5 exons. Lineage: Eukaryota; Metazoa; Chordata; Actinopteri; Cypriniformes; Cyprinidae. The record is from RefSeq and is a predicted model, not a curated record.